GCCCUGAYCAUGGUCCCUCUAGGUUUAUAGCUUUUCUGUGAAGAGCUUUGUGAGAAACCAAAUCCAGAGUGUGGCUUGRUGUUUUCAGGGCUAUGUGGCAAAUACUGCUAUUUAUGUUAUCCAGUGUCAUUGGAAGCUGAGAGUGGGUCUUAGCUUCUCUUUUUCUCUUGUUUUUGCAUUUUGGAUAAUGAAAAUAGAAAACCUGUAUGCACUGUCUAAGAUCAUUACUACAUGGGGGAAAAAACAAAGGGUCUGGAAAGGAGCUUUUGUUUCUAUUUCAUCUGCUUUCAGACAGAGAGUUCUGUAAAUUGUCCCAAAGGAGCUCCGGUGCCUGCAUGUUACUCCAUUCCACUCCUACUCUGUUAGAGACCACUGUCUAAUAGUGAGCUGCAAAAUUGCUUGAUACUUUUCCAAGCAGAAAUCUGUUACAGUCCUGAAAAUUCCUURCCUAGUACAUGAUUUUCUAUUAUUUGGAGACAGCUUUAGUUCUUUCACUUUGCACAAAUGACAGUUUCUAGCUCCCUGAGUGUUAUGGUUGUUGAAUUCCCGCCUUGCUCUGCAUCUGAGCAGAGAGCUGUAGCAGAGUACCAGUAUCCUGGUGAGGGUGGGUGGAGGGAGAAGUAACUUUAUUGUUUUUGCGCAAUGUUCCUUCUGGUUUCUCAACUUGAUGAUUGCUCAGUUUACAACAGCAGACCACUCUUCAGAUCCCCCUUCACUCGUCAGGCUUUCUCUUCUGUGUCUAGCAGUCGUGUCACAUGUCAACCAUCUUACCCUUCUGGAGUUCAUGACAAUUGCAAAAUAAUAAAGAUGCUGUGUAAUAGUAAGUUUGUCUUUUGAACAACAGCUUCAUUUUUUCAUGUUGUUAUCCAACAACAACCCAGAAAUCCAAGAAAAAAAUUCUCUUGUGGUAGUACCUAGCAGACUGUGGCAGCAACGGGUGUAAAAAAAAAAAAUUACAUAGCAUUGUUUUUGUCUUAAGCAAUACAUUAUUACUGUAUUGGGUCAUUUGACUUCUACAUUUAUUUAGGCUUAAAAAGAGCAACUUUAACGGUAUUAUUUUUAUUAAAAGGGGGUCCAUAAGAAUGGCCAUCUCAUUGCCUUUGACUGGGCUUGUUGCUGACAAUUGACUGAAAAGGACUGCAGAGAUGUGGAAGCAAAAAGGAGUAGGAGAGCUCAAAAAUUCAGCAACAAUAAGUCAAGAAUACCAAAGUGAUUCAUUGACUUUAAGUAUUUAAAUUCUCACAAGUCCUGUUCAAUUGGAGUUGAAAGUUGGGAAGUGUUCUUGUGAGUCACUUGGUGUCCGGACAUAGACAAACUUCAUCUAGACCCUAGGAGUGAAAAUCAAGAGGUUUCUUUGACUAGUCAGAAAAUUCUGCACCU
This is a long non-coding RNA of Malurus melanocephalus (red-backed fairy wren), 1380 nucleotides long. RefSeq lists it as uncharacterized. The transcript has 3 exons. NCBI's taxonomy places the organism in Eukaryota, Metazoa, Chordata, Aves, Passeriformes, Maluridae. The record is from RefSeq and is a predicted model, not a curated record.